Mustela erminea (ermine) is the source of this 89-nucleotide long non-coding RNA. RefSeq lists it as uncharacterized. NCBI's taxonomy places the organism in Eukaryota, Metazoa, Chordata, Mammalia, Carnivora, Mustelidae. The record is from RefSeq and is a predicted model, not a curated record. The transcript has 3 exons.
CAAGCUGCUGUCACAAAAUACCAUGGACCAGGUGGCUUAUGAACAGCAGACAUUUCUUUCUUACAGUUCUGGAGGCUGGAAAUCCUGGA